GAUGAACGCUGGCGGCGUGCCUAAUACAUGCAAGUCGAACGAGGUGCUUUUUGUAGCAAUACGAGGAGUAUCCUAGUGGCGAACGGGUGAGUAACGCGUGGGUGACCUACCCCAAAGUGUGGAAUAACAGUCCGAAAGGAUUGCUAAUGCCGCAUGUGGUCUGCGAGUUUAGAAAUCGUUGACUAAAGGAGCAAUUCGCUUUGGGAGGGACCUGCGUCCCAUCAGCUAGUUGGUGAGGUAACGGCUCACCAAGGCUACGACGGGUAGGGGACCUGAGAGGGUGGCCCCCCACAAUGGAACUGAAACACGGUCCAUACACCUACGGGUGGCAGCAGUAGGGAAUAUUGCACAAUGGGCGAAAGCCUGAUGCAGCAACGCCGCGUGCGCGAUGAAGGUCUUCGGAUCGUAAAGCGCUUUUCUGAGAGAUGAGAAAGGACAGUAUCUCAGGAAUAAGUCUCGGCUAACUACGUGCCAGCAGCCGCGGUAAAGUCUAG
RNAcentral lists this ribosomal RNA (494 nucleotides) under uncultured bacterium. Its description in RNAcentral is "bacterial SSU rRNA". It matches the Rfam family "Bacterial small subunit ribosomal RNA", at positions 28 to 530 of the family's 1533-position model. The record is from RNAcentral.